UGGCUGUUCCCAUCAUAAGGAAGACACAAUGGAAAAAAAAAACAUAUCAGAAAAUUGUAAAGAGAGCUCCUACUGCCAUUCUAUUAGGGAUGCAAAAUCUACUAUUCAAAGCUGAACUCAUGCAGGCUUCUCCCCAGUGGGUCACAUCUUCUGCAGACCCUGCAAGGCCACGCUCAGGAGAGGGCAAUGCCCUUCGUCCAGCAAACCCAGGCCCUGGCAAUCCCAGGYUGCUGAAGUGCUCUCUAACAGACAGGCCUUCAGCAAAGGGAAACAACUCCUGUUUCAAACAUCUGAUGCAACAUUAACAAAUAGCAUUUCWUCUUGUUGGGCACACACUUUGAUUACACACUGUACUAGCUUUAUGACUUCAUAAAGUAGUGAACACACGAUCUAAUCUGAACUGUCAUUUUGGUUUGCUUAUAAUAUUGCUCAUUUUAAGUUUAUAGUAGUUGGCCCUAUGUGAUGUGCUUCUAUGAUGCUAUAAUAUUUACCCUUACCGUUUAAAAUAAUGAAAUACAGAAAAGCACACAGAACUUGAUUAUGCCUUUAUAUGUAACAGACCUUAGCCAGUUUCUCAUGAAAUACAAGUGACGACUUCUAAAAACAAAGGCUUUCAUUACAAUAGGUUAACUCUUGUAAAGAAAGAUGAAUUCAAAUAUAUCUACUAGCAUUAUCAGAGGACAAGUGAACAUAUUUUACAGGAGAAUAA
Molecule: long non-coding RNA, 709 nt
Organism: Malurus melanocephalus (red-backed fairy wren)
Lineage: Eukaryota; Metazoa; Chordata; Aves; Passeriformes; Maluridae
Exons: 3
Source: RefSeq, a predicted model, not a curated record